GUCCACUUGCUGGUGCAACUCGAGUUCCAGGACAAGCGCUCCGUGGUUCCUGCGCUCCAGGUAUAACCCGUGGUGGAUAGCGGUGGUCGUUGGAGGUGGUUAGCGGUGGUUGAAGAGGGUCGAAGGUGAACAAGGGGAAGGACGACGAGGAAGACGAGGAGAACGAGAUGGACAAAGAUGACGAAGAUUUGUGCACGUAUUCGAGGUAUAACCCGAGGUGGUUUGCAGUGGUCAUUGGAGGUGGUUGGCGGUGGUUGCGGCCGAUAGAGGUGGACGAGAAGGAGGAGGAUCAGAAUUAAAGUAGAAGAAGGAUCAGGAGUAGGAACAGGAGUAGGAGUAGGACUAGGUGUAGGAUCAAGAGUGGAAGUGGGAGUGGGAGUGGGAGUACCCUACCCCACCCUACCCUUCCCGCCCCUACCCUCCUCCUAUACUCCUACUUCUACUUCAAUCUUACUCCUACUUCUACUACGAUCUUACUCCAACUCCUGAUCCUACUUCUAUUCCUACUCCUACUCCUGAUCCCGCUCCUAUUCCUACUCCUAAUUCUGAAUAAUAAUGUUAUGGAAUGUAUAAACUGCAUGUCGAAUUGAAUCCCAUAUCGAAACGAACAAUUCUUUUAUUGUC
This is a long non-coding RNA of Neodiprion virginianus, 624 nucleotides long. RefSeq lists it as uncharacterized. The transcript is spliced from 3 exons. The record is from RefSeq and is a predicted model, not a curated record. Lineage: Eukaryota; Metazoa; Arthropoda; Insecta; Hymenoptera; Diprionidae.